CUGCGUGGUCUAGGCACCCAGGAAAAAGUGAGGCUGCUCGCAGACAGCGGCAGCGCGCCCGCGGGGGGGAACUCGCCACGCUAUGGUUGCUCUGGCUGGAGAAGCGGGGAAUGGGGGUGUCUCCAUACAAGGUUGGGAGAGCUCCUGCCACAGAUGAAGACAUAUAGCAUCUUGGAAGCAGAGAGUCAUCAUGCGGGAGUCCUGUCCUUGAAAAUCUGGCCUCCAGAACUUCAGAACAAUGAGAAUCAUACUUCUAUUAUUUAUAAACUACCCCGUCUUGGUAA
Peromyscus eremicus (cactus mouse) is the source of this 284-nucleotide long non-coding RNA. RefSeq lists it as uncharacterized. NCBI's taxonomy places the organism in Eukaryota, Metazoa, Chordata, Mammalia, Rodentia, Cricetidae. The record is from RefSeq and is a predicted model, not a curated record. The transcript is spliced from 2 exons.